AAGUACAAGGUUUCCGUAGGUGAACCUGCGGAAGGAUCAUUACCGAGUGCGGGUCCUUUGGGCCCAACCUCCCAUCCGUGUCUAUUGUACCCUGUUGCUUCGGCGGGCCCGCCGCUUGUCGGCCGCCGGGGGGGCGCCUCUGCCCCCCGGGCCCGUGCCCGCCGGAGACCCCAACACGAACACUGUCUGAAAGCGUGCAGUCUGAGUUGAUUGAAUGCAAUCAGUUAAAACUUUCAACAAUGGAUCUCUUGGUUCCGGCAUCGAUGAAGAACGCAGCGAAAUGCGAUAACUAAUGUGAAUUGCAGAAUUCAGUGAAUCAUCGAGUCUUUGAACGCACAUUGCGCCCCCUGGUAUUCCGGGGGGCAUGCCUGUCCGAGCGUCAUUGCUGCCCUCAAGCCCGGCUUGUGUGUUGGGUCGCCGUCCCCCUCUCCGGGGGGACGGGCCCGAAAGGCAGCGGCGGCACCGCGUCCGAUCCUCGAGCGUAUGGGGCUUUGUCACAUGCUCUGUAGGAUUGGCCGGCGCCUGCCGACGUUUUCCAACCAUUCUUUCCAGGUUGACCUCGGAUCAGGUAGGGAUACCCGCUGAACUUAAGCAUAUCAAUAAGCGGAGGAAGAA
Molecule: ribosomal RNA, 615 nt
Filed under: Aspergillus niger
Lineage: Eukaryota; Fungi; Ascomycota; Eurotiomycetes; Eurotiales; Aspergillaceae
Description: eukaryotic LSU rRNA
Rfam family: 5.8S ribosomal RNA (bases 229-382)
Source: RNAcentral